This is a small nuclear RNA of Gonapodya prolifera JEL478, 196 nucleotides long. It matches the Rfam family "U2 spliceosomal RNA". Rfam says of the family: U2 is a small nuclear RNA (snRNA) component of the spliceosome (involved in pre-mRNA splicing). Complementary binding between U2 snRNA (in an area lying towards the 5' end but 3' to hairpin I) and the branchpoint sequence (BPS) of the intron results the bulging out of an unpaired adenosine, on the BPS, which initiates a nucleophilic attack at the intronic 5' splice site, thus starting the first of two transesterification reactions that mediate splicing. The record is from Rfam. Lineage: Eukaryota; Fungi; Monoblepharomycota; Monoblepharidomycetes; Monoblepharidales; Gonapodyaceae.
GUAUCCUCUCAGGCCUAUUGUCUGAGCUCAAGUGUAGUAUCUGCUCUUUCUAGCGUGACAGCUAGAAGGAUCCCCAUCGGGGGGCCCUGUCUGUCAUUGAAUCUUCGGACCCUUGACGAGGACGCUUGGGGCUUGCUCCAAGUUCUGUCGCGGAUGUCGCUCGUAUUGCACUGUCUCGAGCUGACGUCCAUGGACC